Molecule: ribosomal RNA, 406 nt
Filed under: uncultured bacterium
Lineage: Bacteria
Description: bacterial SSU rRNA
Rfam family: Bacterial small subunit ribosomal RNA
Source: RNAcentral
GGGCCCGCACAAGCGGUGGAGCAUGUGGUUUAAUUCGAUGCAACGCGAAGAACCUUACCUGCCCUUGACAUACAGCGAAUCCCGAAGAGAUUUGGGAGUGCCGCAAGGAGCGCUGAUACAGGUGCUGCAUGGCUGUCGUCAGCUCGUGUCGUGAGAUGUUGGGUUAAGUCCCGUAACGAGCGCAACCCUUAUUCUUAGUUACCAUCAGGUAGAGCUGGGUACUUUAAGAAGACUGCCGGUGACAAACCGGAGGAAGGCGGGGACGACGUCAAGUCAUCAUGGCCCUUAUGGGCAGGGCUACACACGUGCUACAAUGGUUGGUACAGAGGGAAGCAAAGCGGCGACGUGGAGCAAAACUCAGAAAGCCAAUCGUAGUCCGGAUUGAGGUCUGCAACUCGACCUCAUG